UACACUCCUGCGGGAGGCAGCAGUGGGGAAUAUUGGACAAUGGGCGCAAGCCUGAUCCAGCCAUGCCGCGUGAGUGAUGAAGGCCCUAGGGUUGUAAAGCUCUUUCACCGGUGAAGAUAAUGACGGUAACCGGAGAAGAAGCCCCGGCUAACUUCGUGCCAGCAGCCGCGGUAAUACGAAGGGGGCUAGCGUUGUUCGGAUUUACUGGGCGUAAAGCGCACGUAGGCGGACUAUUAAGUCAGGGGUGGAAUCCCGGGGCUCAACCCCGGAACUGCCUUUGAUACUGGUAGUCUUGAGUUCGAGAGAGGUGAGUGGAAUUCCGAGUGUAGAGGUGAAAUUCGUAGAUAUUCGGAGGAACACCAGUGGCGAAGGCGGCUCACUGGCUCGAUACUGACGCUGAGGUGCGAAAGCGUGGGGAGCAAACAGGAUUAGAAACCCGGGUAGUCCCA
RNAcentral lists this ribosomal RNA (449 nucleotides) under uncultured organism. RNAcentral describes it as "partial 16S ribosomal RNA". It matches the Rfam family "Bacterial small subunit ribosomal RNA", at positions 332 to 797 of the family's 1533-position model. The record is from RNAcentral.